UCUGUCUCACACGUUUAAAGAUUUCACCACAUGUUCCGGGGUCCGGUUUGAAAACAAGUGGACUUGGAAGUUGUCUGUAAUGAAUCAGAGACUUCAUUGAUAACAACUAACUAGAAUGGAUGCGGUGGUCUUGAUGGGGGUGAAAUCCCCACACGUGGAACAGGCUUUAAAACGCAGCCCGAGAAGGAGCCACACAAACAGAUUUCAGAGGAGCGAGCAUCCAUUGCCCUCAAGAGAUAGAGGAGCAACGCUUUCCUCGCUGCAGCCCAGCUCUGGUUUGAUCCUCAAGACAAAGAAACCCGAUUUAUCCCCAGGAGUAUGAGAAUUCCCCGUCAUCCUCUCCAAAUACACACCAGGCUUUAGAAGUGCUGACUUGUCCUCCAUCUCCGCUUCUGGGACAGGAACUGCUGAGCCUAAAGAGAUAGUGAUUUUGCACCGUAAAGGAUAUAGUAUGAGUGCACUCAAAUUCCCCCCCUAUUGGAUAAGCAGAUUUGAACGUUUGGGAUUCAAAAGAAGGAUUGUGCUGGAAUGUUGAAGGAUUUUCUUUCCCCUUGCAUUUUAAAUAAGGUAGAAAAUUUCCAGUUUGACAAAACAAUUUAUUCCUAAAUGAAAAUGUUAGUUUCAUAUGUGCAUUUACAGUGUUCUUACAUGUUAUGGCCCUCAUACAUAUUCUCAACAAGAUUCUCUUUUGUAUUCUGGUCGUUUAAUAUUCCAUGCUUUGCAGAUCUAUAUACAAAUUAGCUUCCAGGGCAAUAAUAACCUUAGGCCUACCGGUCAGAUGAACUUGUUUUAAAAGAGAUAUUCCUCUGAAUAUUCUUCCAUGUGCGAUUACCGUGGCUCUGACAGAGACCUGCAGCUGAACUCAACCUCUUAGCGUGAUACAGUGACCGGAGAGGCAUCUGUGAAGCAGAGGAGGUCAAACUGAGGUGAAAUACCCUGGUUGGAUGUUAAGCUGGCUGCACAGUGUUUUCACACAUUGACCCAGUAUAGUGGUCCAGUGUAAAGCCUCAGGAGAUGUUUCUAAUGUUGGAUGAGUUUAAUCCUGACCGGUUUACAGAUGUUUAUGUCAGCGGGGGAUUCUCCUGAGGAAACAUUACAUCACUUCCGAGGCAAAUGGUAUGCACAAGAGAAUAGAAACUGGAUAGAAAUCAGACAUUUAAAAUAAAGCCACCGUGCUAAUAAAGGGCAAAUCAUCAGACACCCUCAGGGACAAGGCUAAUUUAAUUCCACGUAAACAAAACCAGCGAAAAGUGGCAUGCAGACACCCAGACCAGUCAUCUGUUGUUACAUAAUCACGGACACCUCGCUUGUACUCAUUAUUGUUCUUUUCCAUUCAGCACUACUUCGUCAUUUGUAAGAGAUGUUCCCUGCAGUUUAAAAUACCAGAAUAUGUAAACAUGCAGAGAUGUAAUAUAUACUUAAUGCAUGUUUUAUUUUUCUGUGUAUGCAUGUAAACCAAAUAUUUGAUGAUUGUGAGGAUGUGUAAAUGUACACCAAAGAUGUUAACACGUGUGUAAACAACAUGGUAAGUUACCGCAGGUGUAUUUUCAGCUUAC
Long non-coding RNA from Hippoglossus stenolepis (Pacific halibut), 1556 nucleotides. RefSeq lists it as uncharacterized. The transcript has 3 exons. Lineage: Eukaryota; Metazoa; Chordata; Actinopteri; Pleuronectiformes; Pleuronectidae. The record is from RefSeq and is a predicted model, not a curated record.